This 324-nucleotide unclassified non-coding RNA is filed under the name plant metagenome. RNAcentral's name for it is "partial contains 5.8S ribosomal RNA, internal transcribed spacer 2, and large subunit ribosomal RNA". The stretch from base 1 to 105 matches the Rfam family "5.8S ribosomal RNA", at positions 50 to 154 of the family's 154-position model. The record is from RNAcentral.
GAAAUGCGAUAACUAAUGUGAAUUGCAGAAUUCAGUGAAUCAUCGAGUCUUUGAACGCACAUUGCGCCCCCUGGUAUUCCGGGGGGCAUGCCUGUCCGAGCGUCAUUGCUGCCCUCAAGCCCGGCUUGUGUGUUGGGCCCUCGUCCCCCGGCUCCCGGGGGACGGGCCCGAAAGGCAGCGGCGGCACCGCGUCCGGUCCUCGAGCGUAUGGGGCUUCGUCUUCCGCUCCGUAGGCCCGGCCGGCGCCCGCCGACGCAUUUAUUUGCAACUUGUUUUUUUCCAGGUUGACCUCGGAUCAGGUAGGGAUAUCCGCUGAACUUAAGC